UUGUAGGAAGGAGUUGGUAUAUUACCAACAUCUGCUGAAGAGUAUAUCAUCUUCUUCCUUCAGAUUACAUCAUGCCAAAAAUCCUGAUAUUUCUGGUCGCUAUGGGGUUGGUGACCCUCUGUGUUACCACACCUCAUCACGAACCGGGUCAUAAGGAUACUGGGCACUCCAGAGACACAUCAGCAACAGCAGCCAACGGUCAAGCAGCUGGCCACGAUCAUCAUGGCAGUCACGAUCACGGUCAUAUACACUCCCACGCUCACGAUCACGAUCAUCAGCAUGAUCACCCUCAUCCACAUCCUCACUGAGAAGAUCUGGACUGUUGCAUACAUCAUGACUCGACAGCAACUAGAGAUACUCAGCGCCAGAAUAGUUACACCAUUGUGUUUUUAUUGAAGUCAAAUUAUACUAAUUUAAGAUCGUUUGUUAAGAUUGUUCUUUAACUCUUCGGUCUCAAGUUCGAAGUAAAAUAAAUAUUAACAAAAAAAUA
Cryptotermes secundus is the source of this 490-nucleotide long non-coding RNA. RefSeq lists it as uncharacterized. Lineage: Eukaryota; Metazoa; Arthropoda; Insecta; Blattodea; Kalotermitidae. The transcript is spliced from 2 exons. The record is from RefSeq and is a predicted model, not a curated record.